Molecule: long non-coding RNA, 2631 nt
Filed under: Brassica napus (rape)
Lineage: Eukaryota; Viridiplantae; Streptophyta; Magnoliopsida; Brassicales; Brassicaceae
Description: long non-coding RNA (BNAP_LNC008052)
Source: RNAcentral
GGUCCGCGGUUGAAUUUUUCUGAAGAGAACUUCUAUAAUUAUUUAUUCCAAAUAUUUUUGUACUUCCAUUAGUCUAAAUUCGAAUAAUAAAUAGUAAUUCUUAUUCCAAAUAAGAAUCUAGUAUUAUGAACUAAAUAAUUUGGUAUACCUUCGAAAGAGAUCGAAAUAUAUAUUGUUGUUUAUGGCUUUCUUCAAUUGUAUUUUAGAAGUUUAUAAAUGUUAUGUAAAAUUGAGAAUAAAAUUAUUUUAGACUGUCUAACUGAAUUUAAAUGUUGUAAACAAUUGGCUUAUAAAAUAAAAUAAAAUAUAUAUUUUUCAGAACAUAGUAUAGAAUUUAUAAAAUAACUAACACCAAUAUUAAUAGUUAUCACCAGUCGCGGGUUGGGCUGAUUCAAAAUAUGACACAAUUAUUUAAGAUAAUAUAUUCUAUAAAAUUCACAAUGGUGGAGGUCUUUUCAAAUAUGGUCUCAUUAAAGUUUUAUAAUAAUAAAUAAUAUGUAAAAUUUGUAUAAUUAAAAAAAUCAUUGUAAUUUUCACAAAUAAGUCAAUCUCUAAUUAUUCUUAAAAAAUCGAAACAUUUUUAUAUUGUUUUAUAAUUUUACAUAUAAAACACAUUUACAUAAUAUGAUACAUAAUCUUAAAGACAUCAAAUAAUCUUUAAAAAACAUGAUGAAAGGGAAAGUUUAGAUUAUUUAGUAUAUAAUCCAUGACAAUAAUGAUUUUUAUUUGAAUAUAAACAGAAUGUUUUGGUAAACUAAUACUAUACCAUAUUUACACCAUUAUUAACUGCAGAAUUUUUAUUCUAAAAUAACUAAAAAGACAUGAUUUGGUGUUUUUACGUCUUAUAGGAAACAAUAUAUUAUGGACAUUGACAAGGUUAUUGAUGAUGAGAAAUGUUUGUCUUAUUGAUUUUGAAGAUGAGUUGAGCAAUAAUGCAAAAUAUAUUACUGACACUGUUGUCGUGUUGUAUCUUGGCAAAUGGUAGUUUAGGCUACUAUUUGUUUAAAUGAUUUUCACGUAAAACGUAUCUUUUUGGUAACCAAUAUAUAAUAUAAUGGCCGUCUCGGUGCAAGUUCUAAUUAGAUACAUAAUUUGAAAAUCUUAUGUCAUAUUAUAUUCUAUAUUAAAAUAUUCCAUACAAUAUUUUGACUAUUAUAUAUAUAUAUAUAUAUAUUUGUUAAGGAAAUCUAUGUUUUUCCUAAUAUAUAUAUAUAUUCUUAAGUAAAUCUAUAUUUUUCAUAGAACUAAGAAUAUAUUUUUAUUUAUUUAUGAAUCUAUAAAAUAUUUUUUUGAGAAAAUAAGAACUGUGAUACAAACUAUUACUUAUAAUAUUAUUUCACUUCUGUAAAUGUAUGCAUGAAUUUCAUUAUAUCUAUAUAUUACCUAUUAAGAAUUGAAGAAUAUUUUUUUUAACUAUAUGAAAUUAGUAAAUAAAAUUGUAGUUGCUAAUUACUUUUGGCCACAUAUUUAAAUUUUCAAAAUUAGACACACACACAUAUAUAUAUAUGUAUAUAUAUGUCAUUAAUUGGUAAUUUUAUGUGGUGAUAUAUCCUAUCAGAACUAAAAUGAAAAUUUGGAACAACUAUUUAACAUAAAUGUUUUGGAAUAUAACGAAAAUAAAAAUAAUAAAAAAUUAUAAUUUCUAGUUUUUCGGAUCAUCUUAGUAAAACGUUUUUUGUGGCAUAUAUACCUGUCCAUAUUUAAGGUUAUUGAAGAUAAAUUAGUAAAUGCUAAUUUGGUAGCUAAUCUAUUGCUAGUUGAUUUUAUCCACAUAUUUAAUCAUUCAACGUUGCGUAUAUAUGGUUGUUGCUAUAUGGUAUUUUAAGGUGAUGACAUAUCGUAACAAAAAUUAAGAUAAAUGUUUGGAAUAAAAUUUUAAAAAAAAACUAACCAAUCAUUUUAAAACUGUUUUUCCGGAUAAUCCUAAAAAUAGUUUUCAGAGACUUAUAUAUAUGUAUAUGUUCACAUUUAAGGUUUUCUACAAUAAACACAUAAAAUAUUUAUUUACAGUGAAGAGUUAUAAUGUCAGCAUCUAAAUUUGCUAUAUUUUGUAUUGUUCUGGUGUUUCUUGCUAGUUGUCAUGAAUGUAUGUCAUAUAUUUCUUACAUUUCGUCUAAUCCCCUUUUAUUAUUAUCAUUAAAAUAAUAAUAAUAUCCUCUAUCAUCUUUUUAAUUUUUUUAAGUUUUAAAUUUUAUACAGGUGCCGACCUCAACAGAGGGCCCAAACCAACAUGCUCUAAAACACCAAAGAAUGUUUGGUGUUGCAGCAACAAUUCACACUGUCGGGAAACCAAAGCGCUAUGUGAGAAGAUUUGUUGGGUCCGCGGUUGAAUUUUUCUGAAGAGAACUUCUAUAAUUAUUUAUUCCAAAUAUUUUUGUACUUCCAUUAGUCUAAAUUCGAAUAAUAAAUAGUAAUUCUUAUUCCAAAUAAGAAUCUAGUAUUAUGAACUAAAUAAUUUGGUAUACCUUCGAAAGAGAUCGAAAUAUAUAUUUUUGUUUAUGGCUUUCUUCAAUUAUAUUUUAGAAGUUUAUAAAUGUUAUGUAAAAUUGAGAAUAAAACUAUUUUAGACUGUUUAACUGAAUUUAAAUGUUGUAAACAAUUGGCUUAUAAAAUAAAAUAAAAUAUAUAUUU